CGAAAUGCGAUAAGUAAUGUGAAUUGCAGAAUUCCGUGAGUCAUCGAAUCUUUGAACGCACAUUGCGCCCUCUGGCAUUCCGGGGGGCAUGCCUGUCCGAGCGUCAUUACGCACCCUCAAGCCCGGCUUGUGUGAUGGGCCCCGGCGUCUCGUUCGCGAGACGGGCCCGAAAGGCAGCGGCGGCGUCGACCCGAUGAGCCCGAGCGUAUGGGGACUUCUGUCACACGUUCGCGGUGCGGACCGGCGCCUGCUUGACUUUUCUGAUUAUCCAGGUUGACCUCGGAUCAGGUAGGGAUACCCGCUGAACUUAAGC
RNAcentral lists this unclassified non-coding RNA (313 nucleotides) under plant metagenome. RNAcentral's name for it is "partial contains 5.8S ribosomal RNA, internal transcribed spacer 2, and large subunit ribosomal RNA". The stretch from base 1 to 106 matches the Rfam family "5.8S ribosomal RNA", at positions 49 to 154 of the family's 154-position model. The record is from RNAcentral.